AGAAAAGAAAAGAAAAGAAAAUUCUCUGUUUUUGUUGUAUAUUCUUGAAUUCCACAAGCUUAAGCUUUCUUGAGGCAUUUCAAUGGAACUCUCUCUUUCUUGCUGGAAUUUUGGGGCUUCUCCUGUUAGUGUUGUUGGGGAUGGUUAUUGCUACCCUUAUCCUAUGGAGUUGUUUGUCAAGAAGAAGAUUAAAAAACUAUGUUAUGCACAAUUUGAAGUUUUUGAUCAAAGUGGAAAUCUCCUCCUUCAAAUAGAUGGUGGUGUCUGGAACUUGAAGAUGAAAAGAAUUAUGAGAGAUCCUUCAGGUUUUCCUAUUCUCACACUGAGAGGAAAGAUAAUUACACUUUGGCAUAAAUGGAAGGCUUAUGAAGGUGAUACUACAGAUGAAGAUAACAUUGUGUUCAGUGUACAACAAUCCCAUCCUUUCCAGAUUAAAAAAGAGCUUCAUGUUUUCUUGGAAAAUUGCAAGAAAAAAGUCCCUGAUUUUCUUGUUAUUGGAUCUUACACUUCUUUGUCCUUCAAAGUUUUCAAAGGCCAUAGGCUUCUUGCAGAGGUAAAACAUAAUUUCACAUUGGAAAGCUUCUACAAGGGGAAGGAAAAAUACAGGGUUAAAAUAUAUCCAGAGGUAGAUUAUGCAUUUAUUGUGGCAUUACUAGUAGUUCUUGAUGAGAAUGACACCCCAUAACUCUCUCUUCAUCUAAGUUUUUGUUUUUUCCUUUUUUUUUUAUUUAUCUUGAGCAUUCACAUAAUGUUUAUUUAUUUAUUUUUAGAUUGUAAAUAAUUUUGAGAAAUAAUAUAAUUAUUAUAAAUUACAUCCUAAUCAAAUGCAAU
This 831-nucleotide unclassified non-coding RNA is filed under the name Hevea brasiliensis (rubber tree). Lineage: Eukaryota; Viridiplantae; Streptophyta; Magnoliopsida; Malpighiales; Euphorbiaceae. The record is from RNAcentral.